GCUACCUCAGUGGUAGAGCAUCUGCUUGGCAUGCAGAAGGUCCAAGGUUCAACUGAGGCAUCUCUGGACA
This is a non-coding RNA of Podarcis lilfordi (Lilford's wall lizard), 70 nucleotides long. NCBI's taxonomy places the organism in Eukaryota, Metazoa, Chordata, Lepidosauria, Squamata, Lacertidae. The record is from the annotation of a GenBank genome assembly.